Molecule: non-coding RNA, 1060 nt
Organism: Vicugna pacos (alpaca)
Lineage: Eukaryota; Metazoa; Chordata; Mammalia; Artiodactyla; Camelidae
Source: RefSeq, a predicted model, not a curated record
UCUUCUCUCUCCCCAGGUCUGAGGAAGAGCUACACUGGUUGAUUAUUGCAAGAAUGAAAGGCACUCUGACCUUGUGGACCGAACGCCUUGCGGCUUUCAAUGUUGCCCAUUACACUGAAGGCAGGCAACUCCUAGAGAGAGGCAGAAUCGACAGGAGAGCUGCUCACUGGGCAACCUGCCAGAAAAGGCUUCAGCAGCAGCAGUUUAGACACCGCCGAACAGCUCAGGCAGCAAAGGAAACAGCUGGGGAAGGGGGGUGGGGGUGGGGGCGAGGCAAAGACAGAGUAUAUAAAAAUAUUGUUAGCACACAGUUUAAAGAGCUCCCGGGCAUCCGUGCUAUACAGCGCCUUUGCUAAUCCUGCCCCUCAUCAUCUGCCUGAACUGAAAACCGACCUGGGAAGGAAAGCUGAAGAAGGAAGCAGCAGCCAACAUGGGGCUAUGACGUCAGCAUACCCAGUGCAAUAUUCAAGAAAAGGGUAAGGUGGAUCCCAGUGGAGUCAGUGGGAGGAUGGAUAAGUUCAACCUCUUUGAGAGCUUGACCUCUAAGCUCAGAGCCAACUGCUUUCCAGUCUGUCAGUUCUCAUUCAACCUGAUACGGAGAUGAUGACAAAGAAACUACCCCAGAGGAAUCCUGCCCAGCAGCCUGAGAGCUGAAGGACGAGGGCCACUCUUCAGAUCAAGUCUUAUGUGAUUGUCUGGAGAUGUCUAAAAAAGGAUGGAAAGGCUUCUGAAAAAGACGCCCUUCUCUCAAAGUGGAUGUUGAAGGCUGUUUCACAUUAACAUCAGUAAAAGUCUCCUCCUACAUGUAGAAGUCUACUCAUGUAUAGAAGUGCGAGUUUCCUCAUCUGAUGAUGACACCUCAGGGGGCAGCUAUGAAGAUUAAAUGAAUCAACACAUACGAAGAAUUAAGAAGAGAUUUCUGGAACAUGGUAGGUCACAGAUAUAUUUCCUAUUAUUAUUCACUAUCUUAAAUUAGAACCCUAUUUUAAGUUUGAAAAAGUUGUGUAUGCUUACGGCAUUCAUGGAUUUGGGGGGGAUAAUCAUGUAAAUUUUAAACAAU